GAUGAACGCUAGCUACAGGCUUAACACAUGCAAGUCGAGGGGAAACGAUAUUGGAAGCUUGCUUCCGAUAGGCGUCGACCGGCGCACGGGUGAGUAACGCGUAUCCAACCUGCCCAUCACUUGGGGAUAACCUUGCGAAAGUAAGACUAAUACCCAAUGACGUCUCUAGAAGACAUCUGAAAGAGAUUAAAGAUUUAUCGGUGAUGGAUGGGGAUGCGUCUGAUUAGCUUGUUGGCGGGGUAACGGCCCACCAAGGCGACGAUCAGUAGGGGUUCUGAGAGGAAGGUCCUCCACAUUGGAACUGAGACACGGUCCAAACUCCUACGGGAGGCAGCAGUGAGGAAUAUUGGUCAAUGGACGAGAGUCUGAACCAGCCAAGUAGCGUGCAGGAAGACGGCCCUAUGGGUUGUAAACUGCUUUUAUAAGGGAAUAAAGUGAGUCUCGUGAGACUUUUUGCAUGUACCUUAUGAAUAAGGACCGGCUAAUUCCGUGCCAGCAGCCG
RNAcentral lists this ribosomal RNA (502 nucleotides) under uncultured bacterium. Its description in RNAcentral is "bacterial SSU rRNA". It matches the Rfam family "Bacterial small subunit ribosomal RNA", at positions 28 to 517 of the family's 1533-position model. The record is from RNAcentral.